CAGUCGCCGCGGGAAUACGAAGGGUGCAAGCGUUAAUCGGAAUUACUGGGCGUAAAGCGUGCGUAGGCGGUGAGUUAAGUCUGCUGUGAAAUCCCCGGGCUCAACCUGGGAAUGGCAGUGGAUACUGGCUCGCUAGAGUGUGUCAGAGGAUGGUGGAAUUCCCGGUGUAGCGGUGAAAUGCGUAGAGAUCGGGAGGAAUAUCAGUGGCGAAGGCGGCCAUCUGGGACAACACUGACGCUGAGGCACGAAAGCGUGGGGGGCAAACAGGAUUAGAUACCCGAGUAGUCCCUGUCUCUUAUAC
Molecule: ribosomal RNA, 301 nt
Filed under: uncultured bacterium
Lineage: Bacteria
Description: partial 16S ribosomal RNA
Rfam family: Bacterial small subunit ribosomal RNA
Source: RNAcentral